This 23-nucleotide non-coding RNA is filed under the name Arabidopsis thaliana (thale cress). Lineage: Eukaryota; Viridiplantae; Streptophyta; Magnoliopsida; Brassicales; Brassicaceae. The record is from RNAcentral.
AUCUCAAAAGGUGAAAGUUCAUA